This is an RNA transcript of Prunus dulcis (almond), 1878 nucleotides long. It is a transcript of the gene named protein NRT1/ PTR FAMILY 5.2-like, with no coding region annotated. The record is from RefSeq and is a predicted model, not a curated record. The transcript has 4 exons. NCBI's taxonomy places the organism in Eukaryota, Viridiplantae, Streptophyta, Magnoliopsida, Rosales, Rosaceae.
AUGGAAAAUCCAGAGGAGAAAGGCCCUGCAUAUGGAGGACAAGAUUUCACACAAGAUGGGACUGUGGAUCUCAAAGGCAGACCAAUUUUAAGAUCUAAGACUGGGAGAUGGAGAGCUUGCUCCUUCAUUGUAGGGUAUGAAAUAUUUGAAAGAUGGCAAAUCAUUGGAUUUCAGCAAACUUAGUGGUGUAUUUGACAAGGAAGCUCCAUGAAGGCACUGUACAAUCUUCAAACAAUGUCACCAACUGGUCUGGCACCUUUGGCUCACACCUAUGUUAGGUGCUUACAUUGCAGAUACAUAUCUUGGUAGAUAUAGGACCUUUGUUCUAGCAGUUUCCAUUUAUCUCAUGGGCAUGUCACUUUUAACACUAGCUGUAUCAGUGCCAGCUUUGAAGCCACCAGCUUGUAACCAUGGCAUUCAAGCAGAGGACUGCACAAAAGCUUCACCUUUUCAAGUGGGCAUCUUCUAUUGCGCAUUGUACAUGAUAGCAGUUUGGAACUGGUGGAACCAAGCCCAACAUCUCAACCAUGGGAGCAGACCAAUUUGAUGAUUUUGAGCCUAAGGAGAAGGCCCACAAGCUCUCCUUCUUCAAUUGGUGGAUGUUUGCCAUUUUCUUUGGCAACCUUUUCUCAAGCACUUUCUUGGUGUACAUACAAGAUAAUGUUGGUUGGACUCUUGGCUAUGGCAUCCCAACAGUUGGGCUUGUGAUUUCAGUGGUAGUGUUCUUGGUGGGAACCCCAUUUUACAGGCACAAAUUGCCUUCAGGAAGUCCUAUCACUAGUGUUGCUCAGAUACUAGUAGCAGCAGUUAGGAAGUGGAAAGUUCCUGUCCCAAAUCACCCAAAAGAGCUUUAUGAGUUGAGCUUGGAAUAUUAUGCAGACAAAAGCAAACUCAAAAUUGACCACACCUCAUCUUUGAGAUCACAUGACAGAGCUGCUGUGAAGAGUGGACCAAACACAACAUGGACUCCAUGUCCAGUGACCCAGGUUGAAGAAACCAAACAAAUGAUGAAGAUGAUUCCAGUUUUGCUCACAACAUUUAUACCUGCAAUCAUCAUAGCUGAGACACACACCCUUUUCAUCAAGCAAGGCACCACAUUAGAUGCUUCCAUGGGUCCCCAUUUCAAAAUCCCCCCUGCAUCUCUUGGAUCAUUCAUAACACUUUCCAUGUUGGUCAACCUCCCAAUCUAUGACCGUCUCUUCGUGCCGGCAAUCAGGCGUUACACGAAUAACCCCAGAGGAAUCACACUGCUGAAGAGAAUGGGAAUUGGGUUUGUGAUGCAAAUCAUAAUCAUGGUCAUUGCCUGUUUGGCUGUAAGAAAAAGACUCAGCGUUGCAAGAGAAAAUGGCAUCUUUGGCAAAGGAGAAAAAGUACCUCUCACAAUUUUCAUUCUGCUGCCACAGUUUGCUCUGAUGGGUGUAGCUGAUACCUUUGUGGAAGUUGCAAAGAUUGAGUUUUUCUAUGACCAAGCACCACAAGGCAUGAAGAGCAUGGGGUCUUCAUAUUUCACUACAAGUUUUGCGGUUGGGAAUUUUCUAAGUAGUUUUCUUCUAAAAACAGUUUCUGAUGUGACCAAAAGACAUGGACACAAAGGCGGCUGGGUCUUGGACAAUUUGAAUGCCUCACAUUUGGACUAUUACUAUGCAUUGUUGGCUGGCUUAGUCUUCCUUAACUUCCUAUUCUUUCUGGUUGUUGCCAAGUUCUUUGUUUAUAAUGCUGACAUCUCUCAAGCCAAGGUAGCUGUGGAAUCUUAAGAUGUGAAGACUUGAAGACUGGACUAGUUAAGCUGAUCAUGGAUUAGAAGCCUUUUUUUACGAAUAUGUUCCUUGCUUCUCAGUUAAUUAAGAUCAAAUAAAAUCCAACUAAUUUCUUUUGGUC